CUUCAUUUUAAAGGGAAAUACUGUCAGACUGGGGUAUAUUCAUGGUAGAGGUAAGGCUGAUGAACAAGGAAACUGAAUCUGCCAGAAACAGAAAGGAAAUGUGCUCAGGGACUCUGCUUAUCCUGUGGCACUGGUUUGAGAAAGAUACGCACGCCUGUGGCAGGUCAAGAAACAUGCAUAGACUUUGAGGAACGUAUUAGGGCUGGAGAAGAAGCUCAGCGGUUAAAAGCAUUGACUGACUGCUCUUCCAGAGGUCCUGAGUUCAAUUCACAGCAACUACAUGGUAGCUCACAACCAUCUGUAAUGGGAUCUGAUACCCUCUUCUGGUGUGUCUGAAGACAGCUUCAGUGUAUUCAU
Molecule: long non-coding RNA, 357 nt
Organism: Apodemus sylvaticus (European woodmouse)
Lineage: Eukaryota; Metazoa; Chordata; Mammalia; Rodentia; Muridae
Exons: 3
Source: RefSeq, a predicted model, not a curated record